RNAcentral lists this ribosomal RNA (2323 nucleotides) under Triticum aestivum (bread wheat). RNAcentral's name for it is "partial small subunit ribosomal RNA". Lineage: Eukaryota; Viridiplantae; Streptophyta; Magnoliopsida; Poales; Poaceae. The record is from RNAcentral.
UUUUUUCCUCUCGGGUGCAAAGUAGGACGGGGCGGAGUAGCAGGGGUAGGGAGGGAGGAGAGAGGAGGAGCGGCGGUGUCCCCAGGGAGAGGAAGGAGUUCGUCGCCGCCGCCGCACUUUAUGUCACCCGAGCCGGAAGCAGCCGCCGGCCCAAGGAGAGGAGGCAGCUCGUCUCCGUCGCCGCCACCGCCGCCGCACUCUGCGUCCCCCGAGCCGGGAAGCAGCCGCCGCCCCAAGGAGAGGAGGCGGCUCUUCGCCGCCGCCGCGCCCUGCGUCGCGCUGGACUGACGCAGCCGUCGUCGCCCCAGGGAGAGGAGGCAGGUCACCUCCACCUCCAGCUCGCGUAGCACCGGCGACCUCAUCCUCUUCGUCGCCCGCCGCCCCGACUCCUACGGCCGCUCGCCCUCCUUCGCCCACUCGCGCACGCCGCCCUUGCGCCGCCGGCCCAGUUGGACCGCCAUCUUCUUCUCCGCGAGCUGUCCCAGGCACUUCUCGGUCGUGUGCAGCAGCUUCUUCCACUACCCUCGAGGCGUGUGUCGCAGGGGCCGCGGCCACGGUACACCCAAGCGAGGCACGUGGAAACGAAGGCGGUACCGAGCGACCGAAACGAACGAACCCACCCAGCCAGACUAGAAGAGAGACGGGUGAUGGUGAUAGACUUAUAGUGAUACGAGACGAACGAGUACACGGAUGCCUAUUCGCCCCAUCCAAACCGUGAUUAGACGACCUCACUAAAUAAUCGAGGGUACGACGUCACUUGUGUAAAGCAGGUCGGUGGCGAGCAUAAAGUCCGUAAGUGUUCUGGUAGUUCUGGCAGUUUUGCUUCCAAGUACAUAGAUACUUACGAACAGUUAAAAUAAGUUAAAACCUCUACUUACCCAUACAAAUUCUUAAGAAUUUAGUUUCAGACUUUGUAUGGUUUUCACCCGUUUAGUAUACAAAAAAUCCGAAUCUAAAAACGAUCCAAUAAUGCAUAAAGUUCACAUAAACAUAAUCAGUUCUGCACGUCGUUAAUAAUAGUAUGUUUUUUAGAUUGUUUAAUAUACUAACUACGAAGUAACUCAGAUGAUAAUUAUCCCAACGUAACACAAAAAUGAUCUUUCGACAUCGUCGGAUAGGAACUAAGUUCAGGUCUUACUUCAUACUUGUUAUAAAAUAGGUUAAAUGCACCUAACUGAAGGGUAUCUUCCAUUGACGCUUACGUAGCGGAGAUAUAAGAUUCUAGUGGAAAGUUAACUAUGAAUGAUAGAGAUUAUUUUUUACCAACCGGUCACGAUAUUUUCCGUGGUCGGAACGACGUGAUGAAUAAGAUUGGAUGUCAUUCCAUGAAGGCAAGGAAACCAUGUACAAAGAGCGACCACAUAUAGGAAAACAAGGCAGCUUGAUCGUUAUCAUAUCGAUACAGUUGCUUUAACGACGACGUUAUAACACAAAAUCUAACGUUAUGAUAUAAAUGUUAUAAAUUCACACUACACUCUCGCCAACAAUAAAAGUAGUGCCUUUAGAACUAAUUUCAACUACUAGGUCUUAAUUUCUUCGUAUACUCUAGACACAUUAUUUAACACAAAAGUAAUUUCUACAGAAUCACCUCUACAUAAGACUAAAAUGAAGUGUUAAGAGUUAAGAUAAUUCCGUAUAAAACAAUUGAAACGUAACGAACGUAUUAAAAUUCCUUUGGUUUCGUUGGUACAGUGAUAAAGAGCGUCCCCCACCUCGGCCGCUUCCACCUCGAUGACCGCACGUUUUCCCGCCGGGUUGACCGCCUACUCCAGUUACGUCGUGUAUAUGUGUAAUUCUACCUAACGUUCCUCUAUCAAGCCUUCGAAGUCUUAGAUAGAACCGUUCCCGGUGAUGUCCUUUUAGUACAAAACGGCACACUUUCUGAUAUUUGGCUCUCGAAAAAGAGCCCAUGUGCCGAAUACAAGAAGAUUUGGCUCAGAUGUCGGUUUUUGUAGGCCGUUGAUGUUUCCUGAGCCGAACACCGUCAGACAUUCGGCUCACCAGGUUUUUUCGAGAGCUGAAUGUUAUUCGUGUGCUGUAGAUGACUUUUUUCGUGGGCCAAAUAUCGAACAUGAGCCAUUUCUAUAUACGGUGCACAGAUGUUGCCUUCACCGACUGCCGCCGUAGUGUCUUGUCAGAUAUUCGGCACUCGGGAUAGUUUCGAGAGCCGAAUAUACCGUAUAUUUGGCACACGGGACAGUUUCGUGAGCCGAAUCUACCGUAUAUUCGGCACACGGAACACUUUCGUGAGCCGAAUGUAAAAACGUGUAAAAAAACGUUGGGCAUUGUAAAUACGUUUUUACCAAAAAUUUACUAAAGGUCC